RNAcentral lists this transfer RNA (63 nucleotides) under Dicronychus cinereus. RNAcentral describes it as "tRNA-Tyr". The record is from RNAcentral. Lineage: Eukaryota; Metazoa; Arthropoda; Insecta; Coleoptera; Elateridae.
AGUAAGGUGGCUGAGGUUAGGCGAUAAGCUGUAAAUUUAUUCACGAAGUUUUCUUCUCUUACU